This 77-nucleotide transfer RNA is filed under the name Desulfuromonas sp. RNAcentral describes it as "tRNA-Met". It matches the Rfam family "tRNA". From Rfam's summary of the family: Transfer RNA (tRNA) molecules are approximately 80 nucleotides in length. Their secondary structure includes four short double-helical elements and three loops (D, anti-codon, and T loops). Lineage: Bacteria; Pseudomonadati; Thermodesulfobacteriota; Desulfuromonadia; Desulfuromonadales; Desulfuromonadaceae. RNAcentral also lists the same sequence under 14 other names. The record is from RNAcentral.
CGCGGGGUGGAGCAGUCUGGUAGCUCGUCGGGCUCAUAACCCGAAGGUCGGAGGUUCAAAUCCUCCCCCCGCAACCA